Molecule: long non-coding RNA, 815 nt
Organism: Uranotaenia lowii
Lineage: Eukaryota; Metazoa; Arthropoda; Insecta; Diptera; Culicidae
Exons: 4
Source: RefSeq, a predicted model, not a curated record
UGACAGUUUGCGUGUAUAGCACAAAAAAACAAUCCGGACGAUGUGUCAAUAAAUUAUACAAAUAGUGAUAUUCGUGAUGAAAAAUAUAAUAAUGAGUUAUAAAUAAAGUCCCCGAAUAGCCAAGACCGCGGUAUUACAGUAAAUAAACAAUAAUUUUUAUCAUAACAGUGAAUAACAAUAUACUGAUACGUUUUCUAGUUCAAUCUAUGCUGGACCGCACGGAUCCGUUCUGGAUGUUGAGAGCAUUCGAGAUUUAAACACUGAUUAACUGAUGUACAAGCUCGAACAAAAAAUCUUCAGAAACUUGUGAAAAAUUUCCAGUGCUCUUUUUUGAAGCAACCGUUUUUUUCAAUUCCGCAUCCGUUUUUAGACAAAUCACCGCUACCACCAAAGUACUCGUCAAAGCAUAUGAGGGAAAAUCGCUUCAAAAAUCUAGCUAUGCAGAAGAUAGAUUAAGUUAUUCAUCAUCAUAAUGGAACAGGUACACCCAUCCGAAAUCACUUCAGAGUACAAGUCCAGAGUGAUGCCCGUAGAACCUGCUGAAUGCCAUGGCCCAUUAGACUCUGCCGGCUUGAGGGUGCUACUCCUGUUUACCUAGAAGCCGUUUCACCAUGAACAGCUCAUCGCAAAUGUACAAAAGAUACGCUACACACCCAGCUGGCUGGAUCGUAUGGAAGAAAAUUCGUGCCGGAACCGCAGAAAUCGGCAUCCGAGAACAUGCAACUUGGUGACGGAAAACAUUUCGCGAGACGCAAAAUUUGCUUACAUGCAAUAUCAUUGGCUGUAUUAUUAAAUGUAUGUAAAAGACAAUGUAA